Molecule: long non-coding RNA, 465 nt
Filed under: Urocitellus parryii (Arctic ground squirrel)
Lineage: Eukaryota; Metazoa; Chordata; Mammalia; Rodentia; Sciuridae
Description: lncRNA (ENSUPAG00010002008.1)
Source: RNAcentral
CAGAAAUCAGGAAUGCAUGGGAUGGAAUGAGAGGAGCUGCAGGUGGUACCAGCCCAGAUUGCUGAGUCAUUAUAUCAAAGGAGGAACCUGGGCAUUGCUCAACUUGAGUUAGUACAGAAGCACCAGUAAAAGACACGCAGAACCAGAAAUGGGAAUCAAAAUGCAAAGCCAGGAAAUCAGMGGCCUUCUACAACCUACCAGGUGGAAUAGCUCAUGGUCCAGUUUUUGGAUUCUACAACACCAACUAGGCAUCCUGUAUUUCCAUCCAAUUUUGACACUCAUUUCCCAGAGUCAGCAUCAGUUCCAACAGAUUGAAGGGCUCAGUCCCACAAGACUGYCACCACUUCAGAUGCCAGUCACAAGUCCUGGACCRCUGGUACUUCUGAGCAACGGGCGAUAAAUCAGGGAGUCCCAUGACUUCUCUUCAGGUUCGAUAAUUUGCUGGAACAACUCACAGGACUCAGG